ACGGGUGAGUAACACGUGGGUGAUCUGCCCUGCACUUUGGGAUAAGCCUGGGAAACUGGGUCUAAUACCGAAUACACCUCGCUGGCUGCAUGGCCUGGUGGGGGAAAGCUUUUGCGGUGUGGGAUGGGCCCGCGGCCUAUCAGCUUGUUGGUGGGGUGAUGGCCUACCAAGGCGACGACGGGUAGCCGGCCUGAGAGGGUGUCCGGCCACACUGGGACUGAGAUACGGCCCAGACUCCUACGGGAGGCAGCAGUGGGGAAUAUUGCACAAUGGGCGCAAGCCUGAUGCAGCGACGCCGCGUGAGGGAUGACGGCCUUCGGGUUGUAAACCUCUUUCAGCAUCGACGAAGCGCAAGUGACGGUAGAUGCAGAGGAAGCACCGGCCAACUACGUGCCAGCAGCCGCGGUAAUACGUAGGGUGCGAGCGUUGUCCGGAAUUACUGGGCGUAAAGAGCUCGUAGGUGGUUUGUCGCGUUGUCCGUGAAAACUCACAGCUUAACUGUGGGCGUGCGGGCGAUACGGGCAGACUGGAGUACUGCAGGGGAGACUGGAAUUCCUGGUGUAGCGGUGGAAUGCGCAGA
This 580-nucleotide ribosomal RNA is filed under the name uncultured bacterium. RNAcentral's name for it is "bacterial SSU rRNA". It matches the Rfam family "Bacterial small subunit ribosomal RNA", at positions 102 to 694 of the family's 1533-position model. The record is from RNAcentral.